Molecule: ribosomal RNA, 491 nt
Filed under: uncultured bacterium
Lineage: Bacteria
Description: partial 16S ribosomal RNA
Rfam family: Bacterial small subunit ribosomal RNA
Source: RNAcentral
AGUGAACGCUGGCGGUAGGCCUAACACAUGCAAGUCGAACGGCAGCACAGUAAGAGCUUGCUCUUACGGGUGGCGAGUGGCGGACGGGUGAGGAAUACAUCGGAAUCUACUUUUUCGUGGGGGAUAACGUAGGGAAACUUACGCUAAUACCGCAUACGACCUACGGGUGAAAGCAGGGGAUCUUCGGACCUUGCGCGAUUGAAUGAGCCGAUGUCGGAUUAGCUAGUUGGCGGGGUAAAGGCCCACCAAGGCGACGAUCCGUAGCUGGUCUGAGAGGAUGAUCAGCCACACUGGAACUGAGACACGGGCCAGACUCCUACGGGAGGCAGCAGUGGGGAAUAUUGGACAAUGGGCGCAAGCCUGAUCCAGCCAUACCGCGUGGGUGAAGAAGGCCUUCGGGUUGUAAAGCCCUUUUGUGGGGAAAAAAAAGCAGCAGGUUAAUACCCCGCUGUUCUGACGGUACCAAAAGAAUAAGCACCGGCUAAUUUCGU